UACAGAGGGCGCAAGCGUUGUUCGGAAUUACUGGGCGUAAAGGGCGCGUAGGCGGGUCGUGCAAGCGUGCGGGGAAAGCCCGGGGCUCAACCCCGGGUCGGCCGUGCGGACUGCGGGGCUCGAGCACUGUAGGGGCAGGUGGAAUUCCGGGUGUAGCGGUGGAAUGCGUAGAGAUCCGGAAGAACACCAGUGGCGAAGGCGGUCUGCUGGGCAGUAACUGACGCUGAGGCGCGACAGCGUGGGGAGCAAACAGG
RNAcentral lists this ribosomal RNA (254 nucleotides) under uncultured bacterium. RNAcentral describes it as "partial 16S ribosomal RNA". It matches the Rfam family "Bacterial small subunit ribosomal RNA", at positions 524 to 776 of the family's 1533-position model. The record is from RNAcentral.